AGUGAACGCUGGCGGUAGGCCUAACACAUGCAAGUCGAACGGCAGCACAGUAAGAGCUUGCUCUUACGGGUGGCGAGUGGCGGACGGGUGAGGAAUACAUCGGAAUCUACUUUUUCGUGGGGGAUAACGUAGGGAAACUUACGCUAAUACCGCAUACGACCUACGGGUGAAAGCAGGGGAUCUUCGGACCUUGCGCGAUUGAAUGAGCCGAUGUCGGAUUAGCUAGUUGGCGGGGUAAAGGCCCACCAAGGCGACGAUCCGUAGCUGGUCUGAGAGGAUGAUCAGCCACACUGGAACUGAGACACGGCCAAGACUCCUACGGGAGGCAGCAGUGGGGAAUAUUGGACAAUGGGCGCAAGCCUGAUCCAGCCAUACCGCGUGGGUGAAGAAGGCCUUCGGGUUGUAAAGCCCUUUUGUUGGGAAAGAAAAGCAGCAGGUUAAUACCCCGCUGUUCUGACGGUACCCAAAGAAUAAGCACCGGCUAACUUCGUG
Molecule: ribosomal RNA, 492 nt
Filed under: uncultured bacterium
Lineage: Bacteria
Description: partial 16S ribosomal RNA
Rfam family: Bacterial small subunit ribosomal RNA
Source: RNAcentral